GCGCAGCAGGCGCGAAAACUUCGCAAUACGCGCAAGCGUGACGAGGGAACCCCAAGUACUCCUGCUUUUUGCAGGAGUUUUUGCCAAGUGUAAACAGCUUGGAGAAUAAGGGCGGGGUAAGGCCGGUGCCAGCCGCCGCGGUAAUACCGGCCGCCCGAGUAGUGACCACUAUUAUUGGGCCUAAAGCGUCCGUAGCCGGUUUUGUAAGUUUCUGGGUAAAUCCCACAGCUUAACUGCGGGAAUUCCAGAAAUACUGCAGAGCUAGGGGCCGGGAGACGCAGAAGGUACUCCUGGGGUAGGGGUGAAAUCCUAUAAUCCCGGGAGGACCACCAGUGGCGAAGGCGGCCGACUAAAACGCGCCCGACGGUGAGGGACGAAAGCUGUGGGAGCGAACGGGAUUAGAUACCCGGGUAGUCC
Molecule: ribosomal RNA, 417 nt
Filed under: uncultured archaeon
Lineage: Archaea
Description: partial 16S ribosomal RNA
Rfam family: Archaeal small subunit ribosomal RNA
Source: RNAcentral